This 988-nucleotide ribosomal RNA is filed under the name Rhodococcus sp. CC 0421. RNAcentral describes it as "partial 16S ribosomal RNA". Lineage: Bacteria; Bacillati; Actinomycetota; Actinomycetes; Mycobacteriales; Nocardiaceae. The record is from RNAcentral.
UCUUCGACCGAGCUGACGGCAGCAUGCCCACCUGUACACCGACACAGGGGACGUACUUUACGUUUUCGUGUAUGUCAACCAGUAGUCUUCGGGUGCAUCGAUAUCACAGCUCGCGCUGUGCGGGCCCCGUCAAUCUUGAGUUUAGCUUGCGGCCGUACUCCCCAGGCGGGGGCGCUAAUGCGUAGCUACGGCACAGAUCCCGUGGAAGGAACCCACACCUAGCGCCCACCGUUACGGCGUGGACUACCAGGGUAUCUAAUCCUGUUGCUACCCACGCUUUCGUUCCUCAGCGUCAGUUGUUUCCCAGAGACCCGCCUUCGCCACCGGUGUUCCUCCUGAUAUCUGCGCAUUUCACCGCUACACCAGGAAUUCCAGUCUCCCCUGAAACACUCAAGUCUGCCCGUAUCGCCUGCAAGCCCGAAGUUGAGCCCCGGGUUUUCACAAACGACGCGACAAACCGCCUACGAACUCUUUACGCCCAGUAAUUCCGGACAACGCUCGCACCCUACGUAUUACCGCGGCUGCUGGCACGUAGUUAGCCGGUGCUUCUUCUGCAGGUACCGUCACUCACGCUUCGUCCCUGCUGAAAGAGGUUUACAACCCGAAGGCCUUCAUCCCUCACGCGGCGUCGCUGCAUCAGGCUUCCGCCCAUUGUGCAAUAUUCCCCACUGCUGCCUCCCGUAGGAGUCUGGGCCGUGUCUCAGUCCCAGUGUGGCCGGUCACCCUCUCAGGUCGGCUACCCGUCGUCGCCUUGGUAGGCCAUUACCCCACCAACAAGCUGAUAGGCCGCGGGCCCAUCCUGCACCGAUAAAUCUUUCCACCACAACACAUGCAUGCUGUAGUCAUAUCCGGUAUUAGACCCAGUUUCCCAAGCUUAUCCCAGAGUGCAGGGCAGAUCACCCACGUGUUACUCACCCGUUCGCCGCUCGUGUACCCCGAAAGGCCUUACCGCUCGUAGCCCAAGUCUAAACCCGCGCCUCAAUCCCCA